GGACUACUGGGGUAUCUAAUCCUGUUCGCUCCCCACGCUUUCGCGCCUCAGUGUCAGUUACGGGCCAGGAAGUCGCCUUCGCCACUGGUGUUCCUUCCGAUAUCUACGCAUUUCACCGCUACACCGGAAAUUCCACUUCCCUCUCCCGUCCUCUAGCUAAUCAGUUUCAUAUGCCAUUCCUAGGUUAAGCCCAGGGAUUUCACAUCUGACUUAAUUAACCACCUACGCGCCCUUUACGCCCAGUAAUUCCGAUUAACGCUCGCACCCUCUGUAUUACCGCGGCGGCUGGCAC
RNAcentral lists this ribosomal RNA (292 nucleotides) under uncultured bacterium. RNAcentral describes it as "partial 16S ribosomal RNA". The record is from RNAcentral. RNAcentral also lists the same sequence under 1 other name.